UAAUACGUAGGGGGCAAGCGUUGUCCGGAAUCAUUGGGCGUAAAGAGCUCGUAGGCGGUUCAGUAAGUCGGGUGUGAAAGCUCCGAGCUCAACUCGGAGAGGCCACUCGAUACUGCUGUGACUAGAAUCCAGUAGGGGAGUGUGGAACUCCUGGUGUAGCGGUGAAAUGCGCAGAUAUCAGGAAGAACACCAGCGGCGAAGGCGGCACUCUGGGCUGGUAUUGACGCUGAGGAGCGAAAGUGUGGGUAGCAAACAGG
RNAcentral lists this ribosomal RNA (257 nucleotides) under uncultured bacterium. RNAcentral's name for it is "partial 16S ribosomal RNA". It matches the Rfam family "Bacterial small subunit ribosomal RNA", at positions 521 to 776 of the family's 1533-position model. The record is from RNAcentral.